AACGAACGCUGGCGGCAUGCCUAACACAUGCAAGUCGAACGAGACCUUCGGGUCUAGUGGCGCACGGGUGCGUAACGCGUGGGAACCUGCCCUUAGGUUCGGAAUAACUCCCCGAAAGGGGUGCUAAUACCGGAUAAUGUCUUCGGACCAAAGAUUUAUCGCCUUUGGAUGGGCCCGCGUUGGAUUAGCUAGUUGGUAGGGUAAAAGCCUACCAAGGCGACGAUCCAUAGCUGGUCUGAGAGGAUGAUCAGCCACACUGGGACUGAGACACGGCCCAGACUCUUACGGGAGGCAGCAGUGGGGAAUAUUGGACAAUGGGCGAAAGCCUGAUCCAGCAAUGCCGCGUGAGUGAUGAAGGCCUUAGGGUUGUAAAGCUCUUUUAACCGGGAUGAUAAUGACAGUACCGGGAGAAUAAGCUCCGGCUAACUCCGUG
This 433-nucleotide ribosomal RNA is filed under the name uncultured bacterium. RNAcentral's name for it is "partial 16S ribosomal RNA". It matches the Rfam family "Bacterial small subunit ribosomal RNA", at positions 29 to 507 of the family's 1533-position model. The record is from RNAcentral.